GCGGCCUAUCAGCUUGUUGGUGGGGUAAUGGCCCACCAAGGCGACGACGGGUAGCCGGCCUGAGAGGGCGACCGGCCACACUGGGACUGAGACACGGCCCAGACUCCUACGGGAGGCAGCAGUGGGGAAUAUUGCGCAAUGGGCGGAAGCCUGACGCAG
Molecule: ribosomal RNA, 159 nt
Filed under: uncultured bacterium
Lineage: Bacteria
Description: partial 16S ribosomal RNA
Rfam family: Bacterial small subunit ribosomal RNA
Source: RNAcentral